This 1924-nucleotide ribosomal RNA is filed under the name metagenome. RNAcentral describes it as "bacterial LSU rRNA". It matches the Rfam family "Bacterial large subunit ribosomal RNA", at positions 3 to 1973 of the family's 2925-position model. The record is from RNAcentral.
UCAAGCGACUAAGUGCAUGUGGUGGAUGCCUUGGCGAUCACAGGCGAUGAAGGACGCGGCAGUCUGCGAAAAGCCCCGGGGAGCUGACAACGAGCUUUGAUCCGGGGAUCUCCGAAUGAGGGAACUCCAAGCUUUAGCUUGAUCCAUGCGUGAAUACAUAGCGCAUGGAGGCGAACGCGGCGAACUGAAACAUCUCAGUAGCUGCAGGAAAAGAAAUCAACCGAGAUUCCGGAAGUAGCGGCGAGCGAAACCGGAACAGCCUGAAUUCGAUAUUGAGAAGAACACUGGAAGAGUCUGGAAAGGCUCGCCAUAGUGGGUGAUAGCCCCGUACGGGACGUUCAUCUCAAGGUACUGAGGAUUCGAAAAGUAGGUCGGGGCACGUGAAACCCUGGCUGAACAUGGGGGGACCAUCCUCCAAGGCUAAAUACUCGUGAUCGACCGAUAGCGUACUAGUACUGUGAAGGAAAGGUUAAAAGAACCCCGGGAGGGGAGUGAAAUAGAUUCUGAAACCGCAUGCAUACAAACAGUAGGAGCCCUUCGGGGUGACUGCGUACCUUUUGCAUAAUGGGUCAGCGACUUAUGUUAUGUGGCAAGCCUAACCGAUUAGGGGAGGCGCAGCGAAAGCGAGUCCGAACAGGGCGGUUCAGUCGCAUGGCAUAGACCCGAAACCAGAUGAGCUAACCAUGGCCAGGCUGAAGGUGUGGUAACACACACUGGAGGGCCGAACCUACUGGUGUUGCAAAACCAGAGGAUGAGCUGUGGUUAGGGGUGAAAGGCUUAACAAAUCUGGAGAUAGCUGGUUCUCCCCGAAAACUAUUGAGGUAGUGCCUUGCGCAUGAGCUUCUGGGGGUAGAGCACUGUUAUAGCUAGGGGGACAUGGCGUCUUACCAAACUAUGGCAAACUCCGAAUACCAGAAAGCUUCGCGCAGGAGACAGAGCACCGGGUGCUAACGUCCGGACUCAAAAGGGAAUCAACCCAGACCGCCAGCUAAGGUCCCUAAUAUCAGCUAAGUGGAAAACGAAGUGGAAAGGCUAAAACAGUCAGGAAGUUGGCUUAGAAGCAGCCAUCCUUCAAAGAAAGCGUAAUAGCUCACUGAUCGAGUCCUUCCGCGCGGAAGAUGUAACGGGGCUAAGUUGAUAACCGAAGCUGCGGAUUCAUACUUUGAGUAUGAGUGGUAGGGGAGCGUUCUGUAAGCCUGUGAAGGUGGAUCGUAAGGUCUGCUGGAGGUAUCAGAAGUGCGAAUGCUGACAUGAGUAACGAUAAAGCGGGUGAAAAGCCCGCUCGCCGCAAACCCAAGGUUUCCUGCUCUACGUUAAUCGGAGCAGGGUGAGUCGGUUCCUAAGGCCAGGCUGAGAAGCGUAGCUGAUGGAAAUCAGGUUAAUAUUCCUGAACCGGCGUUGAAUGCGAUGGGGUGACGGAGCAGCCAGAGUGGACCGGGUGUUGGAUGUCCCGGCUUCCGAGCGAUGGGUGCCUGCAGGCAAAUCCGCAGGCGUAUACCCAGGACGAAGGAUCGGGCCUUCUUUUGAAGGCGAAGCCACUGGAAGCGCUUCCAGGAAAAACCUCUAAGCUUCAGUUCAACGGCGACCGUACCGUAAACCGACACAGGUGGGUGAGCUGAAUAUGCUCAGGCGCUUGAGAGAACUCGGGAGAAGGAACUCGGCAAAUUGACACCGUAACUUCGGAAGAAGGUGUGCCUUUGUAGCUUGACGGGAGAGAAACCCGGAGGGCGAAGAGGUCUCAGAGAAUCGGUGGCUGUAACUGUUUACUAAAAACACAGCGCUCUGCAAAGAUGAAAGUCGACGUAUAGGGCGUGAUGCCUGCCCGGUGCUGGAAGAUUAAUUGAUGGGGUGCAAGCUCCUGAUCGAAGUCCCAGUAAACGGCGGCCGUAACUAUAACGGUCCUAAGGUAGCGAAAUUCCUUGUC